Herpailurus yagouaroundi (jaguarundi) is the source of this 730-nucleotide long non-coding RNA. RefSeq lists it as uncharacterized. The record is from RefSeq and is a predicted model, not a curated record. Lineage: Eukaryota; Metazoa; Chordata; Mammalia; Carnivora; Felidae. The transcript has 2 exons.
UCUCUCUCUGCCCUUCCCCUGCUCAUGCUCUCCCUCUCUCUCUCAAAUAAAUAAUAAACUUAAAAAAGAAUCAACUGGGCAUAUUUGUGUGGAUCUACUGCUUUGUUCUGUAUUUCCUUCCAUUGAUCUAUAUGUCUAUCCUUUUACUAAUACUACACAGUCUUGAUUAAUAUAGGCAUGUACUAAGUCUUGAAAUUGAGUAGACUGAUCCCUCCCACUUUAUUCUUAAGAAAAAAAAAAAACCCUUAUUCUAGCUAUUCUAAUUGCUUUGUAUUUCCAUAUAAACUUAAGGGUAAUAUAGAAAAUUGAGAAAAAUUUUGCUGAGAUGUAUGUUAAAUCUAUAGGUCAAUUUGGAUGAAAUUGAUACUGUUUUGAGUCUUCCAAUCCAUGGACAUGAACUUCCAGUACUAUGUUGAAUGACGAGAAUGGACAUUUUUGCCUUCUUCCCAAUCUUACAGGGAAGUAUUCACUAUUUCAUUGUUAAAUAUGUUAGAUAUACUUUUUUUUGUAGAUGUUCUUUAUGAAGUUAAGGAAGUUACCUUCUUUUACCCUUUUUUCUGAGAAUUUUAUCAUGAAUGGAUAUUGACUUUUGUCAAAUACUUUUUUUAUUUCUGCAUGGAUUGAUGUGAUCAUGUGAGUUUUCUUUAACUUGUUAAUAUGGUAGAUUACAUCAAUUAAUUUUCAAAUAUUGAACCAACUUUGCGUUGCUAGAAUAAACCCACCAAGUUGA